Molecule: ribosomal RNA, 381 nt
Filed under: uncultured bacterium
Lineage: Bacteria
Description: bacterial SSU rRNA
Rfam family: Bacterial small subunit ribosomal RNA
Source: RNAcentral
AUUGAACGCUGGCGGCAUGCCUAACACAUGCAAAGUCGAACGGUAGCAGGCCUUCGGGCGCUGACGAGUGGCGGACGGGUGAGUAAUACAUAGGAAUCUGCCUUUUAGUGGGGGAUAACCCGGAGAAAUCCGGGCUAAUACCGCAUACGCACUACGGUGGAAAGCAGGGGAUCGCAAGACCUUGCGCUAAUAGAUGAGCCUAUGUCGGAUUAGCUUGUUGGAGGGUAAUGGCCUACCAAGGCGACGAUCCGUAGCUGGUCUGAGAGGACGACCAGCCACACUGGGACUGAGACACGGCCCAGGACUCCUACGGGAGGCAGCAGUGGGGAAUAUUGGACAAUGGGGGCAACCCUGAUCCAGCAAUGCCGCGUGUGUGAAGAA